RNAcentral lists this ribosomal RNA (376 nucleotides) under uncultured bacterium. RNAcentral describes it as "bacterial SSU rRNA". It matches the Rfam family "Bacterial small subunit ribosomal RNA", at positions 29 to 433 of the family's 1533-position model. The record is from RNAcentral.
AACGAACGCUGGCGGCAGGCCUAAAACAUGCAAGUCGAGCGGGCAUAGCAAUAUGUCAGCGGCGGACGGGUGAAUAACACGUGGGAACAUGCCCUUUGGUACGGAACAACUCAGGGAAACUUGAGCUAAUACCGUAUGUGCCGGUAACGGGAAAGAUUUAUCGCCAAAGGAUUGGCCCGCGUCCGAUUAGCUAGUUGGUGAGGUAACGGCUCACCAAGGCGACGAUCGGUAGCUGGUUUGAGAGAACGAUCAGCCACACUGGGACUGAGACACGGCCCAGACUCCUACGGGAGGCAGCAGUUGGGAACCUUGGACAAUGGGGGAAACCCUGAUCCAGCCAUGCCGCGUGAGCGAUGAAGGCCUCGGUUGUAAGUAC